CCUACGGGAGGCAGCAGUGGGGAAUAUUGGACAAUGGGCGCAAGCCUGAUCCAGCCAUGCCGCGUGAGUGAUGAAGGCCUUAGGGUUGUAAAGCUCUUUCGCCGGUGAAGAUAAUGACGGUAACCGGAGAAGAAGCCCCGGCUAACUUCGUGCCAGCAGCCGCGGUAAUACGAAG
RNAcentral lists this ribosomal RNA (175 nucleotides) under uncultured Azorhizobium sp. Its description in RNAcentral is "partial 16S ribosomal RNA". It matches the Rfam family "Bacterial small subunit ribosomal RNA", at positions 338 to 530 of the family's 1533-position model. Lineage: Bacteria; Pseudomonadati; Pseudomonadota; Alphaproteobacteria; Hyphomicrobiales; Xanthobacteraceae. The record is from RNAcentral.